Molecule: long non-coding RNA, 680 nt
Organism: Ictalurus punctatus (channel catfish)
Lineage: Eukaryota; Metazoa; Chordata; Actinopteri; Siluriformes; Ictaluridae
Source: Ensembl
CUCAAAACGGAGGACAGAUGGGGGACUCAAAACGGAGGACAGUGGGGGGGACUCAAAGCGGAGGACAGUGGGGGGACUCAAAACGGAGGACAUGGGGACACAAACUAGAUGACGGGGAAACACAAAAAAAUAAUUAUUUGACCACAGCGCCGUGGUGUUAAAGGGCUUUGAUCUCCGUUGCCAUGGCGCUUGGCUGAGCUGCCGGUCAGUUCACUGGGCACUUCCUGUUUCCUCUCAUUCUUUUUCAACAUGUCUGACGAACCGAGCAUAAUGAGUACUGUCCAAUCUGGGGGGAAAAAACGGGACGAGCUGUUACACACACACACACACACACACACACAAAGUGCACAGGAAUACUGUAUACAUAGGUUUUUGUUUUUUUGCAAUAUCGCUGAUGGUUUCAGCGUUUAUAGGUCAAAGGUCAGGUUUAUAAAUGUGGCGAAGCGUCCACAUAAAGCAAUAAACAUUUCUAUUCGUAUUUAUCACGAGCGUGCAACGUGUUUUGGCGGUGUAUUAGGGUGCUCUGUGCUCGAUUAGCUCUUAGCUUGCUUUAUUCUUUUUUUUUUGGCAGAAUUAAUCCUAAAAAAUAAUUGCGAUGCCUUCAUCCAAUUUACGAACUUGUGAACCGAUCAGUUCCUAUGCAUUGAAAAGCCUGAUUGAUUAAAAAAAAAAAGCGAGGG